Molecule: long non-coding RNA, 507 nt
Filed under: Salvia miltiorrhiza (redroot sage)
Lineage: Eukaryota; Viridiplantae; Streptophyta; Magnoliopsida; Lamiales; Lamiaceae
Description: long non-coding RNA (SMIL_LNC000278)
Source: RNAcentral
AAAAAACUAGAAAUUGAGAUGUGGGGAACAAAAGCUAUAUAUAUCUGUAAUCUGUAUACCGUUGCUUAAUUUCCCUCUCCCCUCUUGGACGCAUCCGCAUCCCUCAAACCCUAGAUUUCAACUGUUUCAAUCUCUUCUCGGCAUUUAACUAUGGCAGACGAACAAAUACAAGAAUUUUUGAAAUUGCAACAAGAAGUUUCAUCAAAAAAGAUUGCUCUGGCGGCUGCUAAGAGACGUUUAAAGGAAUUGGAUAGUCAAGCGAGAAAGUGCAAAGCUGAAAAGCGAAGACUGAGGGAUGAAUUUUUCAAAGGCCGGUGUUGCUGUAGUAUAUAAUAGAGAAGACGUUCCAGCAGUUAAAGAAUUGGUGGAAACCUAUAACGUUGACUGUGUUUUUGUCCCAUUCACCGAUGAAAUUAAGAAGGAGAUGAGCAUGGGCGGAUCCACGAAUUGAGGUUAGGGGGGGCUGAAUUUAUUGAUCUACGACGUAUGUAGACAUUUACACGGGGG